Molecule: long non-coding RNA, 448 nt
Organism: Mizuhopecten yessoensis (Yesso scallop)
Lineage: Eukaryota; Metazoa; Mollusca; Bivalvia; Pectinida; Pectinidae
Exons: 2
Source: RefSeq, a predicted model, not a curated record
GUACACAGUGUAACAACCAUGACUAAAACAAUAGAAAACGAAUGCAUACAAGUGAUGAUGUCGCAAGCUUAUCUGUUUAUGUCAAGCAGCAUCAGCUAACCAAAAUGAAACUUGCUGUUCCAGGGACAGCUCCAGCACCAGUGUUCCUGUUGACAGCACCACUAGCUCAGAUCUGUUGUUCUACAUGUACCAAGCCCACUCGUUAAAGCUAUUAUGUUGUCAGCAACAAUUUUCAGCAUCACUUAAAUCAUCAAUAUAUUCCUAAAAGAUUGAUGAUAUUCAACUUAUUUGAAAGAAGUGCUUAAGCUUUUUGUGACUUUACUCCAAAGAACACUUGUUUGGUAACUUUAUAUAUUUGUGUUUCUCAAGACAUUUAGAUGUGUCAGCUGUGUUAGAAAGAGAACAAUUAUUAAAGAAGCUACAUCCAGUUCGAAUAAGUCCUGAGNUU